CCGCUUCGAUCCUCCCGGCGGGCGAGAGGCGGCACCGCCCGGGACAUCCCGGCUCCCCCCUGCGGCGCUCUGCCCCCCACCCCGGCCGCUGUCGCGGCCCCGCCGCAGCGCGCCGUGCACUGUGCGGUUCCCACGGUAAGCCCCCGGUAGGGCCGGCCCCGCAGCCCCGGAGAGCGCUCUCAUCCGGGGCUCCCCGCUCCGGCCCGCCCGAGACCACUGCGCCGCCGGGACAGAGCAUCGCCCGGCUCUCCCUCCCUUCCCCUGGGCCGCAGCCCCGUGGGGCUCUCGCCGGUCGCGCCCCCGUGGAACCAGCGGGGCUGGAUGGCCGUGAGCGGGAGGAGCCGCUCCGGGGCUCCGGCGGGACCUUCCUCGGUCUCCAGUGCUCUAUUUUUCCCAUGCCAGUUGCCUUCUUCUUGAACUGGGUGAGACCUGUCAGACCGCUGGGCUUACUUACGUAGCCGGUGCCCAGGGAGCUGCCCUCUCUGCCCGGUACUUGCUCCAAAGCUUCCAGAGGCACCAGAGCUGGCCAGCAAGGAGCUGAGUGGCAAGGAGGUGGCUCUCCAUACCACCAGCGGUGCAAUCCCAGCAGGAGCCGCAGCCCAGCCCUCCCCCGAGCUGCCUUCAGCUCCAAGUGCUGCCCUGACACCGGCCCCGGCUGAGCUCAGAGCUGGGAGAGCCCCGGGGACAGGCGGGGACCCAGGGGCCCGGAGGGCAGUGCCCAGCGGGGGCCCAGUGGAUCCAGAGCUUCCGGCCACUCUCCACAUCCAACCGCUCCCCCAGGUAUCCCAAAAUAUGCUUCAGUGGGUCCAACACUAGGAGCUUUUAUCACCAGACUGAUUCUGGGAUCUCGAUUCAAUCAGACAAGACUUGGCACAUAAUGAGGGAAAACAGACACAAACUCUCCCAUAAAUGCAUAAAGUUACUUUAUUUUCAGUAUACAUUUAUUUAAUUUUGAAAAAUAUAAAUGCUAAAAUAUCUCAUCAUCUUUUGAUUCCAUAAAAGUCACAAUAGAAAGCUUCAUAAAACUGUAAAAUACUAUAAUGUUAUAAGGAAUUUCAUUUUUUAUAUUACUGGAAAAAAAAAAAUCACUUUAGUAUGUUUGAAAUGUUUUCUGCUUUUUUUCCUUGUAGUUCCACCAUCUGAUCCACUUCAUUUCAUCCUGAGUCCUUGUUCCCUCCUCCAAAGAAAACAGGGACUUAGGAGAAUUAAGAACAAGAACAAAAGUAUCUGAAAGUGCGAUUCCAACGCAGAGACGAAGGUGCGUCGGCCCCGGGAGGGGGCAGCGCAGGCCGGGGCUGGCACAGAGCUGGCCGUGGCGGGCUGGCACCUCGCAUUUGCGGGGGAAGGUCGUUUUUGACGGCUGCCUCUGAUCUUGGAGGGCUUUAGGUCGGUCUCCACACUUAUUCCCUCAAGCGCCCAGCCAGGCUUUUCCGACAAAACCCCGGAUUUGGAUGGAAAGGACGUUCUGGUUGUUCUCAAAGGCAGAGAACCUCUCCCUGUCACGCUGCAGCUCCUCCCUGCCGCCGGACGUGGGUGCUUCUCAUGCAAAGCCGCAGAACCCUUGGUCCUGUCGGCAGCGCCGCCCUCAGCACAACACAAAAAACACAACACAGAGAGAGAGAAAGAUCUACAACAGCAGUCAGGACACUUCAAGUGUAUUUAACACGGUUCAGAAGAGAAGACCUCAUUUUUGGGGAGACAGGUCAGCAGGCAGCAGCAGCUGGAAGCUGUGCCCAUGGAAGGGAGCGGGACGGCCCCUGCUGGGGAUCCCCCUGAUGGCACCUCUCCUCUGGGAUCGCUGCACUGCACGGUGUGGGCAGGACGAGCACCAUCCCCCACGCAGCUCCUGAGUGCUCCACAGGCCACGCUCAGCCUGUCCCCACUGGGUGCCAGCACUGGUGUCCACCACGGGAUGGAGAGCGCUGGCUAAAGCUGGCAUCACGCUUCCCAAGUUACCUGUCCUCCACCUGCAGAAGGGAUCCCAGAGCUGCUCCUUGUCAGGCCUUUGCCAAGUCUCCCUGGCAUUUUCAGAGCAGGUUUCAGCCGGGUUCCUGGGAUACCCAACACAGAUUUCAUGGAAACUGAAGGGGAGACCCCUCGAGGGCGAGCAGGGGCUGUAUGGAGGUGGUGGCUCCUGUGUGGGAGCAGAUGCUAAAAUUUGGCAUUUAAGGUCUCAGCACCAUCAGAAAUUCCUCUUGACUUCACCAACCCAGACUUUGGUUUCACAAGGACCAAGUGGCAGCAUGUGCCCAUCCUCUGUGAUGGGAUUGUCUCCAUCAGGGAAUUCGCCUCGAGAGCCGGGGUACUUUUUCUUCUUGUUCUGUUUUUUAUUUUUGGACGAAGCUAUUCGUGUGUUCCCCAUGUCCUGGUGAAGCCCAGUUUCCCAAAGCUGCCUUUAGAUGCACACAGCACUAUGAACGUGCUACAGAGAGCCCAGCCUCUCUCCUGAUGUGAUGUCCACUCUCCUGGGAUGCCCACGCCUGGCCUGCUGAGCCAUGCUGCAUUGCUGGUGCGGCGCAGAGCAGCCAAGGUGCAGGGUCACUUCUGCACAUGGUGCUGCACAGGGCUGGAAUGCAGGAGGAUGUGGAUGUUUGUGAAUCCCAGUGUCAGGAUGAACAUCCCAGCAGGCCACCUUCAUCUUCCUCCCCGAUCACAAGAGAUUUAUGUCUCUUUCAGAGCAGGGGGUGCUCAUUAAAAAAAAAAACCUCCAAAAACCAACUUAACCCUAAGGAAAACAGAUGCUUUGGAGCAGAAGGUGUUAACUGAACUGAUCCAGCCCUAUGCCACGUCCUGGAGAUUGUGGUGUGAUGUCGUGGGUUUGUUUCUUGUAAAAAUCACAUGAUAUAUGGUACAAUACAUUUUUUACAGAAA
This is a long non-coding RNA of Haemorhous mexicanus (house finch), 2871 nucleotides long. RefSeq lists it as uncharacterized. The transcript is spliced from 2 exons. NCBI's taxonomy places the organism in Eukaryota, Metazoa, Chordata, Aves, Passeriformes, Fringillidae. The record is from RefSeq and is a predicted model, not a curated record.